RNAcentral lists this ribosomal RNA (165 nucleotides) under Pseudoterranova azarasi. Its description in RNAcentral is "partial 12S ribosomal RNA". Lineage: Eukaryota; Metazoa; Nematoda; Chromadorea; Rhabditida; Anisakidae. The record is from RNAcentral.
UACUUUAUAAACUUAUACUCUAAUUAAUGUUAAUUUAGAGUUAUUUUAGUGUUUGAUUUUCAAUUUUAGGGUGAAAUCAGAGGUUGUUUUUAUAUUUACUCUAAAUUUUAAGAUUUAGUAAACAAACCAGAUUAGUACCUGGUUAGAUAAAAUUUAAAAGAGCAG